GCUGUCUCUCUUCUCUCUCCCCGAUUCUCUCUUCCUCUCCGACCUCUUCACCUUCUUCCGGCCAUAACUCCUCCAUCCGGCGACGGAUUUUGACGUAUAAGAUGUCGUUGGAAAGCUCUCUUCCUUCUCUUCAUUUCUGGGUUCGUUUCGUAGCUUAAUAUGAACUGUGGAAGGUGAAGCAACGAGAAGAAGAGGACGGUCACUGUAGUAGUUUGUUAUUUCCGGCGAUAUCUUCCGAUUCCGGCCGUCUCCGGCCACCAAAUUGGCGUCGAAGGGUUCUUGGAGUUUUCUGGAAAUUUUUCACCGGCCAAAUUGGAGCCCUUCAAGGACGAUAUAUCGAGUUACCGCUUGACGAAGGAACUCGUUUUCGUGGUCGCCAACCAGUAUUUUUGCAGGCUAGAUUAGUUGAGGUCGGGCGUACGUGGAGUCGAGGCAUAGUCAACAGCAUUGCUUCCGCGUACUCAUUCUAUUUCUAUUUUCUUUGUUAUCUAGUGGAUUAGUAUUGCUCUGAUAACCUGUGGGAAUAAUAUUAUUUUAUUUUAUUUUUGGGUUGA
This is a long non-coding RNA of Rosa rugosa (rugosa rose), 554 nucleotides long. RefSeq lists it as uncharacterized. Lineage: Eukaryota; Viridiplantae; Streptophyta; Magnoliopsida; Rosales; Rosaceae. The transcript is spliced from 4 exons. The record is from RefSeq and is a predicted model, not a curated record.